This is a long non-coding RNA of Oxyura jamaicensis (ruddy duck), 508 nucleotides long. RefSeq lists it as uncharacterized. The transcript has 3 exons. The record is from RefSeq and is a predicted model, not a curated record. NCBI's taxonomy places the organism in Eukaryota, Metazoa, Chordata, Aves, Anseriformes, Anatidae.
UUACUAAAAAUGAUUCUGUCAUUCUACAGGCUUUUUAUAUUUGGAUUGGAAAAAACUGUGAUAACAACUUCAUAAAAGAUGUCCUUGGAUACCCAAACUAUGCAUCAGUACCAUAGAAAAUGACACAACUCCCUGAGGUAGUUGCACUUUUUUCAGAAAGGACGCGGUCUUUCAUAGCCUGGCUGAGGGACAACAGACUUUUAAGCCCAGUUCUUCAAGUAAUAAAAGAUGAAACUCCUGCCAAGACAGAGUCUUUUCAGCAUUUAAUUGAAGAUUGGACAGAAGCAGCUUUCUCUUAUUAUGACUUCUUACUUCAUAUUCAACAGCAGAUUUGUAAAUGAGCAAGGAGUAAACUAGAAGAAAAAUCCUGACUCCAGAUAGAAGCAUUGGCUGAGAGAAGUAUAUGGAAAGUUACAAAAGUGGAUGUUUGCUCUUCACAAUAUACAGUAAUCGGCACUGGUUUGGAAACUUUACUGUUAAAGGAGGAGAUGUAUACAUUUCCAGAAGA